AUUGAACGCUGGCGGCAGGCCUAACACAUGCAAGUCGAACGGUAGCACAGAGAGCUUGCUCUCGGGUGACGAGUGGCGGACGGGUGAGUAAUGUCUGGGAAACUGCCUGAUGGAGGGGGAUAACUACUGGAAACGGUAGCUAAUACCGCAUAACGUCGCAAGACCAAAGAGGGGGACCUUCGGGCCUCUUGCCAUCAGAUGUGCCCAGACGGGAUUAGCUAGUAGGUGGGGUAACGGCUCACCUAGGCGACGAUCCCUAGCUGGUCUGAGAGGAUGACCAGCCACACUGGAACUGAGACACGGUCCAGACUCCUACGGGAGGCAGCAGUGGGGAAUAUUGCACAAUGGGCGCAAGCCUGAUGCAGCCAUGCCGCGUGUAUGAAGAAGGCCUUCGGGUUGUAAAGUACUUUCAGCGGGGAGGAAGGCGAUAAGGUUAAUAACCUUGUCGAUUGACGUUACCCGCAGAAGAAGCACCGGCUAACUCCGUGCCAGCAGCCGCCGUAA
This 504-nucleotide ribosomal RNA is filed under the name uncultured bacterium. RNAcentral's name for it is "partial 16S ribosomal RNA". It matches the Rfam family "Bacterial small subunit ribosomal RNA", at positions 30 to 523 of the family's 1533-position model. The record is from RNAcentral.